AACGAACGCUGGCGGCAUGCCUAACACAUGCAAGUCGAACGAAGGCUUCGGCCUUAGUGGCGCACGGGUGCGUAACGCGUGGGAAUCUGCCCUUGGGUUCGGAAUAACUCAGAGAAAUUUGAGCUAAUGCCGGAUGAUGACGUAAGUCCAAAGAUUUAUCGCCCAAGGAUGAGCCCGCGUAAGAUUAGCUAGUUGGUGGGGUAAAGGCCUACCAAGGCGACGAUCUUUAGCUGGUCUGAGAGGAUGAUCAGCCACACUGGGACUGAGACACGGCCCAGACUCCUACGGGAGGCAGCAGUGGGGAAUAUUGGACAAUGGGGGCAACCCUGAUCCAGCCAUUCCGCGUGAGUGAAGAAGGCCUCGGUU
This 366-nucleotide ribosomal RNA is filed under the name uncultured bacterium. Its description in RNAcentral is "bacterial SSU rRNA". It matches the Rfam family "Bacterial small subunit ribosomal RNA", at positions 29 to 424 of the family's 1533-position model. The record is from RNAcentral.